RNAcentral lists this unclassified non-coding RNA (277 nucleotides) under Hevea brasiliensis (rubber tree). The record is from RNAcentral. Lineage: Eukaryota; Viridiplantae; Streptophyta; Magnoliopsida; Malpighiales; Euphorbiaceae.
CGACGAAGAUCUCAGCUUCCUCGAAGCAGACGACGUAAACGACGCCGCGCCGGAGCACACUUUCCCAACCGAAACCUUCUCUGACGACGACGACUUCGACGACGACGAGGACUUCGAAAAUUACGACGAUUUUGAAGUUCCGUCGGCGUUUGAUGACGAGAAGGAAGAGGAAGGUGUUAAAUUCGACGAUAAAGACGUCGUCGUUUUGACGGAUAGGAAUUUCAGUGACUUUGUAGAGGAUAAUAAGUAUGUGAUGGUGGAGUUUUACGCGCCGUGG